AGCGUAGGCGGACAUUUAAGUCAGGGGUGAAAUCCCAGAGCUCAACUCUGGUACUGCCUUUGAUACUGGGUAUCUUGAGUAUGGAAGAGGUAAGGUGGAAUUCCGAGUGUAGAGGUGAAAUUCGUAGAUAUUCGGAGGAACACCAGUGGCGAAGGCGGCUUACUGGUCCAUUACUGACGCUGAGGUGCGAAAGCGUGGGGGAGCAAACA
Molecule: ribosomal RNA, 209 nt
Filed under: uncultured bacterium
Lineage: Bacteria
Description: partial 16S ribosomal RNA
Rfam family: Bacterial small subunit ribosomal RNA
Source: RNAcentral